GACGUAGGGGACGAGCGUUGUCCGGAUUCAUUGGGCGUAAAGCGCGCGUAGGCGGCCACGCAAGUCGGGUGUGAAAUCCCGGAGCUCAACUCCGGAACUGCACUCGAAACUGCGCGGCUUGAGGUAGGUAGGGGAGAUCGGAAUUCCUGGUGUAGCGGUGAAAUGCGCAGAUAUCAGGAGGAACACCAAUGGCGAAGGCAGCUCGCUGGGACGGUACUGACGCUGAGACGCGAAAGCGUGGGGAGCAAACAGG
RNAcentral lists this ribosomal RNA (253 nucleotides) under uncultured bacterium. RNAcentral's name for it is "partial 16S ribosomal RNA". It matches the Rfam family "Bacterial small subunit ribosomal RNA", at positions 524 to 776 of the family's 1533-position model. The record is from RNAcentral.